Molecule: ribosomal RNA, 472 nt
Filed under: uncultured bacterium
Lineage: Bacteria
Description: bacterial SSU rRNA
Rfam family: Bacterial small subunit ribosomal RNA
Source: RNAcentral
AUUGAACGCUGGCGGCAUGCCUUACACAUGCAAGUCGAACGGCAGCACGGGAGCAAUCCUGGUGGCGAGUGGCGAACGGGUGAGUAAUAUAUCGGAACGUGCCCAGUCGUGGGGAUAACGUAGCGAAAGCUACGCUAAUACCGCAUACGAUCUAUGGAUGAAAGCGGGGGAUCGCAAGACCUCGCGCGAUUGGAGCGGCCGAUAUCAGAUUAGGUAGUUGGUGAGGUAAAGGCUCACCAAGCCGACGAUCUGUAGCUGGUCUGAGAGGACGACCAGCCACACUGGGACUGAGACACGGCCCAGACUCCUACGGGAGGCAGCAGUGGGGAAUUUUGGACAAUGGGCGCAAGCCUGAUCCAGCAAUGCCGCGUGCAGGAUGAAGGCCUUCGGGUUGUAACUAGCUUUGUACGGAACGAACGGUAGAGCUCUAAUACAGUUUGCUAAUGACGGUACCGUAAGAAUAAGACACCGG